GUGGGGAAUUUUGGACAAUGGGCGCAAGCCUGAUCCAGCAAUGCCGCGUGCAGGAAGAAGGCCUUCGGGUUGUAAACUGCUUUUGUACGGAACGAAACGGUCCUGGUUAAUACCUGGGGCUAAUGACGGUACCGUAAGAAUAAGCACCGGCUAACUACGUGCCAGCAGCCGCGGUACUACGUAGGGUGCAAGCGUUAAUCGGAAUUACUGGGCGUACAGCGUGCGCAGGCGGUUUUGUAAGACAGGCGUGAAAUCCCCGGGCUCAACCUGGGAAUUGCGCUUGAGACUGCAAGGCUGGAGUGCGGCAGAGGGGGAUGGAAUUCCGCGUGUAGCAGUGAAAUGCGUAGAUAUGCGGAGGAACACCGAUGGCGAAGGCAAUCCCCUGGGCCUGCACUGACGCUCAUGCACGAAAGCGUGGGGAGCAAACAGGAUUAGAAACCCCUGUAGUCC
RNAcentral lists this ribosomal RNA (450 nucleotides) under uncultured bacterium. RNAcentral's name for it is "partial 16S ribosomal RNA". It matches the Rfam family "Bacterial small subunit ribosomal RNA", at positions 354 to 796 of the family's 1533-position model. The record is from RNAcentral.